RNAcentral lists this ribosomal RNA (188 nucleotides) under Pteridomonas danica. RNAcentral describes it as "partial Eukaryotic large subunit ribosomal RNA". Lineage: Eukaryota; Dictyochophyceae; Pedinellales. The record is from RNAcentral.
CCGACCAAAUAAAAUCCAUAAAAAAAUGGAGCCACAAGCAGAGUGGAAAUCCGCUAAGCCAGAAGAAACCCGUACUUGCCGUAACUGCGGUCAAGUUGGACAUAUUGCAAAAGCAUGUACCCAACCUAAGAAACCUGAUACCCGUGAAUGUCGCAUCUGUGGUGUUGUGGGCCACAUCCAACGUGACU